AUCCAUUCAUAGUUAAGAAGUGUGAUGGAUGACUGGGUGUUCAUGUACUUGUGUGAGAUGUCCCUCCCACAAACCUUGUUACAACUUCGGUACAUUACCAGUCUAAUG
This is a small nucleolar RNA of Molossus molossus (Pallas's mastiff bat), 108 nucleotides long. RefSeq annotates it as small nucleolar RNA U13. The record is from RefSeq and is a predicted model, not a curated record. The transcript has a single exon. NCBI's taxonomy places the organism in Eukaryota, Metazoa, Chordata, Mammalia, Chiroptera, Molossidae.